Long non-coding RNA from Cyprinodon tularosa, 527 nucleotides. RefSeq lists it as uncharacterized. The record is from RefSeq and is a predicted model, not a curated record. NCBI's taxonomy places the organism in Eukaryota, Metazoa, Chordata, Actinopteri, Cyprinodontiformes, Cyprinodontidae. The transcript is spliced from 3 exons.
AUUUGUCUUAUGAAGCCAGAGCUAAAGCUCUUCCUCAACCUAAAGUAGAGGUGGAUCGACUUCUGAUCACAGAGACUGACUCGGUCACAUUAAAGUGUUCAACCUCAUAUGUUAAUGCUGAUCAGUGUGUUUUCUACAUUGAAAACAAAAAGAUGUCUGCAGCCUCCUCCUGUGUGGAAACACUGACAGGAUCUGAACUGCUGAGGAUGACAGAGAAAAUAUUACCAGCCGAGGUCAAAGUUAAAUGUUCCUACAGUGUAAAAUAUGGAGCUUUAGAUGUUACAUCAACAGACAGUGAAUCAACCAUCAUCUCCAUAAACAACCUUGUUCCACCUACACUGACAGUGAACCCACUGGUGAUCACAGAGACAGACUCGGUCACUUUAGACUGUCAGCCUCCAUCUUCUGUUCCUGUUACUGAGUGUUAUUUCUUCAUUGUUGGAGGAAGUCAAGCUCGGAGGUUUAAUUGUCAGAAAACACUAAAAGGAGGAUAGAUCUUGUCUAUAGCAAAGCAAAGGUCACCUGCU